Long non-coding RNA from Oncorhynchus tshawytscha (Chinook salmon), 1898 nucleotides. NCBI's taxonomy places the organism in Eukaryota, Metazoa, Chordata, Actinopteri, Salmoniformes, Salmonidae. The record is from Ensembl.
UACUUUUGGUCAUGUAGUGUAUAUGUGACCAACAAAUAUGAAUGGAGUUUCAGUCAUACCUGAAAGGGUUAGUGGAAGAGUGUUUCAAUCAAGCCUGAACCACCUUUGUGCCAGAACAAUUCCACAGUUGUUGGCCUUCUCUUGAAGGGGUGAAUUGUUAUAAAACUAUACUGUAGGUAAAUGUGUCACCUUGGGAAAUGUUUUCUCUAGGAGUUAGACAGUUAAGGGACAGACUAACUAACUCUGGUGACAUGACAACAACAAAGUAAACAAAGAGGUGAAAGGACAGUACAUGUGUGUGACAGGUUUAUAGAGCCUUAGAGAUGAGACUAAACAAUGCUGUAUAGAGGAUGUAUCAGGAAACCUAUGGAAAUUGUUAUUUUACAUUCUGGUACAUUCUUAGCUCACAGACUUUGAUAUGAAGGGUUGGUGACUAAAGUCCUUUGUGUCUCUAUGAAUUCCAAGAAUGGACAUUGGGGGGCAAGGGCAGUGUCAUGGUGAGAAGGUCAUGAUCAGGCCAGUUGGCUCUUUGGCCAAGGUUAGGAGUGUGGCGCUGCAGGGUUAGGGUGACAGUAUGAUGCAACAUCAUCAGAUAUGUCAUCUUUGUAGGGUGAAAAAGUAGCAUCUCCCAGCCCGAUCCCUAGCUUCCAUCUAAAAUAAUUGCUUUCCCAGCCCUCUUAGUACUUUCUGUAAUUCAUUGACAAUCCCUAACUAGAGCCAGAGAGAGGCUAUCCGAUGUCAAACCAAUUUUGCCACGGUAAAGGGUGAGUGACUAACUGUGUACUGUUCUGUGAAUUUACAAAUACUUGCCAUGUGCAAACACACACGAGACAACCACAUUAAAUACCCCUUUUGUAUAUUCAGUAACGUUGCCUGGGUAAAAUCACUGGGGAAGUCAGAAAAGCCAUAUUACAACCUAUGUGUUGUGAUAAUUGCGUUGUUUGCUCUAUAACCUGUUAGUUCAUAUGCCUGGCGACUGUGAUAUAUAUAGGCCUAAAGGCCGAGACAAUGAGAAGACCGAGGCAGAAUAAAUUCAACCACACCUUUGUUUCAUCACAAAACCGGAGAGCAACCUCUGUCUGAAGUCCACAAAGCAUAUUUCAUGUGACAAAACACUACAGCAUGGUCCAUCAAGUUAAUGUUUUCCGACCACUAAACAACUAUUGAUUUACAACCACGGAGAGUUACCGCAAGUCGCAAAGAAAACAGAAGGAGCUGCCACCACUAUUCCAGCACCAUUUCAACUUCAACAUUUUAACAUCAAAUCACCUAUGAUAAGUCUAAUUGUGACAACAAAAAGAUACCAAAAACAAUUUAGUCCAAUCAACGUAAGCUAAAUAUGAUGUGGCUGUCCAUGGUUCUGAUUUCUGUGUGUGUGCACGUUCGUGCAAGUAGAAAAAACAUGUUGACUCAUUGUUACGGAUACAAGUAUCCUGUGUGUGUAUCCUGUGUGUGUGUCUUUUCUCUCCUUCUCCCCUCACAGGUGAACAUCAUCACUCCCCAAUCAGUCAACAAUCAAUCAUCAAUCAGAAGACACACCUCCUCCUGUUUCCUACCCUAUCACAGUUCCUUUCCCUUGGUUUAAAAACCCCAUCAGUUGUUUGCUCUAGAGCUCAAUCUCUCUGUAAAUGCCAUGUAUGUAGAUCUCUGUGUUUCACUCUCUCUUUGUAGCUCAAUCUCUCUGUAAAUGCCAUGUAUGUAGAUCUCUGUGUUUCACUCUCUCUUUUGUUUGAGCACCUCCAAAUCACUUUGUCAUCUCCUGUGAGUAUUGUUUUUGGUUAUGGUGUUUGUUUGAUUGCUGGUGGGAAAAGGGGAAACCAAGACAAGUCGCCUAUGGGCAUACACUACCCGUAGGUAGACUUUGUUAAAAACACUAGUUAGAACUGGGCGGACCACCC